Long non-coding RNA from Carya illinoinensis, 1002 nucleotides. RefSeq lists it as uncharacterized. NCBI's taxonomy places the organism in Eukaryota, Viridiplantae, Streptophyta, Magnoliopsida, Fagales, Juglandaceae. The record is from RefSeq and is a predicted model, not a curated record. The transcript is spliced from 2 exons.
AUGACGAGUUUACCACCACCCAAAUGGUCCUGCCGUGACAUGAUAUUAUACUUAGGUUAAACGUAUUAUAUGAUUUGACUUUAUAAUCCGGCUCCGCAUAUAAAUAGGCCACAGCAUGAGUUUACACUCCUUGCUAUCAAAAACCCACUUCCGAGUCCUAAGAUCUUAAAAAAAAACACAUUUCGUGCUGUUCUUUUUCCCAUGGACUUCAAGAGUUGGUGGAGCUCAGAUGCUAAUAACUUCAGGUCGAGCCUGAAGCAUGUGAAAAAUGGCUACGAAAGGGUUGUGUCAUUGGAUAUAAUGGUGGCCGGAUCCAGGAUAUCAAGGUGGAGAAUGCUAUGGAGAAGAUUGAAGAAGGAAAAGAAGAAGUAUUUCGGUUGUACUGCUUCGAAUAUAAAGCAGGUCCCUUCCUAUGAUCCUUAUACGUACUUGCAGAAUUUUGAUCAGGGAUCGAUGUGGGCUGACCCAGAUAACCACUUUCGAUCAUUCUCAGCUCGGUUUGCUGUUCCGUCAAGGAUUUUCCAGAAGAGUGAAUCGGCUUGCUGAUGGGAGCUGAAACGAGAAAGAAAACAAAAUGCUUCAGGGUAUUCUUGGGCCUGGCAUCAUGCGUCAUUAAUUGAAGUUGCAGCUAUCCAUUGCAAGCAAGAACCAUUAUUGUAUUUUGUGCUUUUUUUAUCCCUUUGGAUUUGGGGAUCACUUUAAUAAUUGUGAUGCUGAAAAGUAAAGUUUUAGCUCGAAGGAAAGCUCUCAAGUGUUGAUUAAGUUUAGCCGUUAAAACAAGAAUGCUUUUUUAUAUUGUCAUUUCCAUGGUGCUGAAAUCGGUCUACAGAGAGAACUGAAGGGAUUAUUAUGCAGACCUUGCAAAGACAGUGAUCUUUGCUUUGAGCUAAAUUUCUAGAAUUAUGUAAAAAAAUCUCUUGUAAUAAAUAUCCCGGAUUUUAGUGAAUAGGCUCCCACAUUGUUAAGGAGAAAAACUUCUUACCCUUUAUAAUGAGUUUUAAA